CCGGACCGGCGCACGGGUGAGUAACGCGUAUGCAACUUACCUAUCAGAGGGGGAUAACCCGGCGAAAGUCGGACUAAUACCGCAUGAAGCAGGGGCCCCGCAUGGGGAGUAUUUGCUAAAGAUUCAUCGCUGAUAGAUAGGCAUGCGUUCCAUUAGGCAGUUGGCGGGGUAACGGCCCACCAAACCGACGAUGGAUAGGGGUUCUGAGAGGAAGGUCCCCCACAUUGGUACUGAGACACGGACCAA
RNAcentral lists this ribosomal RNA (246 nucleotides) under uncultured bacterium. Its description in RNAcentral is "partial 16S ribosomal RNA". It matches the Rfam family "Bacterial small subunit ribosomal RNA", at positions 90 to 334 of the family's 1533-position model. The record is from RNAcentral.